UACGGAGGGUGCAAGCGUUAUCCGGAUUCACUGGGUUUAAAGGGUGCGUAGGCGGGCAAGUAAGUCCGUGGUGAAAUCUCUGAGCUUAACUCAGAAACUGCCGUGGAUACUAUUUGCCUUGAAUAUUGUGGAGGUGAGCGGAAUAUGUCAUGUAGCGGUGAAAUGCUUAGAUAUGACAUAGAACACCAAUUGCGAAGGCAGCUCACUACACAAUCAUUGACGCUGAGGCACGAAAGCGUGGGGAUCAAACAGG
This 253-nucleotide ribosomal RNA is filed under the name uncultured bacterium. RNAcentral's name for it is "partial 16S ribosomal RNA". It matches the Rfam family "Bacterial small subunit ribosomal RNA", at positions 524 to 776 of the family's 1533-position model. The record is from RNAcentral.